This 771-nucleotide ribosomal RNA is filed under the name uncultured cyanobacterium. RNAcentral describes it as "bacterial SSU rRNA". It matches the Rfam family "Bacterial small subunit ribosomal RNA", at positions 45 to 863 of the family's 1533-position model. The record is from RNAcentral. Lineage: Bacteria; Bacillati; Cyanobacteriota.
UGCUUACACAUGCAAGUCGAACGGUCUUUUCGGAGAUAGUGGCGGACGGGUGAGUAACGCGUAAGAAUCUACCUUCAGGUUGGGGACAACCACUGGAAACGGUGGCUAAUACCCAAUGUGCCGAGAGGUGAAAGGCUUGCUGCCUGAAGAAGAGCUUGCGUCUGAUUAGCUAGUUGGUGGGGUAAGAGCCUACCAAGGCGACGAUCAGUAGCUGGUCUGAGAGGAUGAUCAGCCACACUGGGACUGAGACACGGCCCAGACUCCUACGGGAGGCAGCAGUGGGGAAUUUUCCGCAAUGGGCGAAAGCCUGACGGAGCAAUACCGCGUGAGGGAGGAAGGCUCUUGGGUUGUAAACCUCUUUUCUCAGGGAAGAACAAAAUGACGGUACCUGAGGAAUAAGCAUCGGCUAACUCCGUGCCAGCAGCCGCGGUAAUACGGAGGAUGCAAGCGUUAUCCGGAAUGAUUGGGCGUAAAGGGUCCGCAGGUGGCAUUGUAAGUCUGCUGUUAAAGAGUUUGGCUCAACCAAAUAAAAGCAGUGGAAACUACAAAGCUAGAGUGUGGUCGGGGCAGAGGGAAUUCCUGGUGUAGCGGUGAAUGCGUAGAUAUCAGGAGGAACAUCGGUGGCGAAGGCGCUCUGCUAGGCCAAGACUGACACUGAGGGACGAAAGCUAGGGAGCGAAUGGGAUUAGAUACCCCAGUAGUCCUAGCCGUAACGAUGGAUACUAGGCGUAGCUCGUAUCGACCCGAGCUGUGCCGUAGCUAACGCGUUAA